This 484-nucleotide ribosomal RNA is filed under the name uncultured bacterium. RNAcentral describes it as "partial 16S ribosomal RNA". It matches the Rfam family "Bacterial small subunit ribosomal RNA", at positions 30 to 507 of the family's 1533-position model. The record is from RNAcentral.
AUUGAACGCUGGCGGCAGGCCUAACACAUGCAAGUCGAGCGGAUGAAGGGAGCUUUCUCCUGGAUUCAGCGGCGGACGGGUGAGUAAUGCCUAGGAAUCUGCCUUGUAGUGGGGGAUAACGUCCGGAAACGGGCGCUAAUACCGCAUACGUCCUGAGGGAGAAAGUGGGGGAUCUUCGGACCUCACGCUAUCAGAUGAGCCUAGGUCGGAUUAGCUAGUUGGUGGGGUAAAGGCCUACCAAGGCGACGAUCCGUAACUGGUCUGAGAGGAUGAUCAGUCACACUGGAACUGAGACACGGUCCAGACUCCUACGGGAGGCAGCAGUGGGGAAUAUUGGACAAUGGGCGAAAGCCUGAUCCAGCAAUGCCGCGUGUGUGAAGAAGGUCUUCGGAUUGUAAAGCACUUUAAGUUGGGAGGAAGGGCCGUAAGUUAAUACCUUGCUGUUUUGACGUUACCAACAGAAUAAGCACCGGCUAACUUCGUG